Molecule: non-coding RNA, 25 nt
Filed under: Rattus norvegicus (Norway rat)
Lineage: Eukaryota; Metazoa; Chordata; Mammalia; Rodentia; Muridae
Source: RNAcentral
UGGUGGGCUGAAAUUUCUUGUUGGU